RNAcentral lists this ribosomal RNA (465 nucleotides) under uncultured bacterium. Its description in RNAcentral is "partial 16S ribosomal RNA". It matches the Rfam family "Bacterial small subunit ribosomal RNA", at positions 339 to 795 of the family's 1533-position model. The record is from RNAcentral.
CUACGGGCGGCAGCAGUGGGGAAUAUUGGACAAUGGGGGCAACCCUGAUCCAGCAAUGCCGCGUGUGUGAAGAAGGCCUGCGGGUUGUAAAGCACUUUCGGUUGGGAGGACUGCUUCUAGCACUAAUAUUGUUGGAAGUUGACGUUACCUUCAGAAGAAGCACCGGCUAACUCCGUGCCAGCAGCCGCGGUAAUACGGAGGGUGCAAGCGUUAAUCGGAAUUACUGGGCGUAAAGCGCGCGUAGGCGGCUAGAUCAGUCGGGUGUGAAAGCCCCGGGCUUAACCUGGGAACUGCAUCCGAUACUGUCUAGCUUGAGUACAGGAGAGGAGAGUGGAAUUCCACAUGUAGCGGUGAAAUGCGUAGAUAUGUGGAGGAACACCAAUGGCGAAGGCAGCUCUCUGGCCUGAUACUGACGCUGAGGUGCGAAAGCGUGGGGAGCAACCAGGAUUAGAUACCCCAGUAGUC